AAGAGUGAACUAGCUAACUGAAAUCACAUUUAAACUAUGUUGAUAAUGUGAUAACGUAAGGGAAAAAAAUGAUAUUACCUUACUACUAGUGUUGUCCAAAACUGGUGCCAGAAGACUCGGUAAAGCCAGAGACGCAAACGUUAGUCGUCCUAAUCAGGCGUAAAGGGUAUGUAGGCUGCUUUAAAUUUUUUUCUUUAAAUAGCUCUGUAUAAAUAUAAUAUUUAUUUUAAAUUUAAAAUUUAUAUAUAUAUUUCAUUUCAGUAAAUAAAAAAUCAAUUAAAGCUAGAAUCAAAUUGAGGAUAAACCAAAUAAUACUUAGUGUAGGGUUGAUAUCUAUAGAUACUAAGGGGAAUACUAAAGGUGAAAGCUUUUUAUCUAUUAAUGAUUGACGCUGAGAAACGAAGGUGAGAAUAGGAAAUAGGAUUAGAUACCCAGAUACCUCUCACUGUCAACGAUGAAUGGUGGUUGUUAGUUUUAAAAAAAACUGGUAACGAUGUUAACACGAUAACCAUUCCGCCUUGCGAGUACGGUUGCAAAACUGAAACCAAAAAAAUUAGUCGGUCUCGAAGCAAACGAA
This 577-nucleotide ribosomal RNA is filed under the name Entoloma caesiolamellatum. Its description in RNAcentral is "partial small subunit ribosomal RNA". It matches the Rfam family "Bacterial small subunit ribosomal RNA", at positions 379 to 933 of the family's 1533-position model. Lineage: Eukaryota; Fungi; Basidiomycota; Agaricomycetes; Agaricales; Entolomataceae. The record is from RNAcentral.